Molecule: non-coding RNA, 229 nt
Organism: Cinara cedri
Lineage: Eukaryota; Metazoa; Arthropoda; Insecta; Hemiptera; Aphididae
Source: the annotation of a GenBank genome assembly
ACGAAACUUUCAAAUAUAGCGAUAAUAAUAACUAAAAGUGCUAAAGUGAUUUGAAAAUUUUACCACAUCUAGAAAAGACUAAUAUAAGUACUCGGUGAUAAUUGCAGGUCUCUAUGGUUGUUUUAAACGGAAUUACAAAAAAAAAAAAAAAAACCCAAUAUCUUAAUCAAAAUCGUUAUUGCGUACAUUUACCCAUUUUUCAACGUUUUAUCUUACUCUUAAUAAAACU